ACGAGAAUCUGUGGAAAGAGGAUUCGUCCAAUUGAAGCAGAGGACAGUGGCGGACGGGUGAGUAACGCGUGAGGAACCUGCCUUUCAGAGGGGGACAACAGUUGGAAACGACUGCUAAUACCGCAUAACAUAUAGAUGUCGCAUGGCAUUUAUAUCAAAGAUUUAUCGCUGAAAGAUGGCCUCGCGUCUGAUUAGCUAGUUGGUGAGGUAACGGCCCACCAAGGCGACGAUCAGUAGCCGGACUGAGAGGUUGAACGGCCACAUUGGGACUGAGAUACGGCCCAGACUCCUACGGGAGGCAGCAGUGGGGAAUAUUGGGCAAUGGGCGCAAGCCUGACCCAGCAACGCCGCGUGAAGGAAGAAGGCUUUCGGGUUGUAAACUUCUUUUGUCAGGGACGAGUAGAAGACGGUACCUGACGAAUAAGCCACGGCUAACUACGUGCCAGCAGCCGCGGUAAUACAUAGGUGGCAAGCGUUGUCCCGAUUUACUGGGUGUAAAGGGCGUGUAGCCGGGAGGGCAAGUCAGAUGUGAAAUCCACGGGCUCAACUCGUGAACUGCAUUUGAAACUACUCUUCUUGAGUAUCGGAGAGGCAAUCGGAAUUCCUAGUGUAGCGGUGAAAUGCGUAGAUAUUAGGAGGAACACCAGUGGCGAAGGCGGAUUGCUGGACGACAACUGACGGUGA
Molecule: ribosomal RNA, 684 nt
Filed under: uncultured bacterium
Lineage: Bacteria
Description: bacterial SSU rRNA
Rfam family: Bacterial small subunit ribosomal RNA
Source: RNAcentral